Sorex araneus (European shrew) is the source of this 5034-nucleotide RNA transcript. It is a transcript of the gene named erythrocyte membrane protein band 4.1 like 2, with no coding region annotated. Lineage: Eukaryota; Metazoa; Chordata; Mammalia; Eulipotyphla; Soricidae. The transcript has 24 exons. The record is from RefSeq and is a predicted model, not a curated record.
GCAGGGGCGGGGCUGGCGCGCCGAGUCCUCUGACGGCCCCAGCCGGGGAAUUUCAAUUUGAAACGCAGCGGAGGGAGGAGGCGGCGCGGCGGCCGGGGCGGCUGGGCUGAGGCUGGACGGGUCCCCGUGGCGAACGUGGUCCCGGGCUGCGGCGUCCGGCUUAAGCUCCGAUCAUGACUACAGAGGUAGGCUCUGCGUCUGAAGUGAAGAAAGAACCCGAUCAGGUGGGUGCAGAUGCCGCCAAGGAGAAACCUAAUGAAGUAACAGAAAACCAGAAUCAGUCAACCGAACCAUCUCCUACAGCUGAGAGCCAAAGCAGUCCACGCCGCCGCCAGAAGAGAGAGAAGGAUCCAUCUGAGAGCAGGGGCAUUUCCCGAUUCAUCCCUCCAUGGCUUAAGAAGCAGAAGUCCUACAACUUAGUAGUGGCCAAAGACGGAGGAGACAAAAGAGAGCCCAGCCAAGCUGUCGUGGAAGAACAGAUUCUGGAUAAGGAGGAGUCUCUUUCUGAGGAAGAAAGGCAGGCGAAGGGUGAUGCUGAAGAAAUAGCUUCAAGGAAACAGCAGGAAACAAAGGUUGAGGAAGAAAAACCUGCAGUGAGCAGUCCUGAGACACAGCCUGCCGAAGCUGUGCCAAAGAAAGGAGAAGAGAAGGUAAAGGAGAUACAGGAAGACAAAUCCGAAGGGGAAGCAGCCAAGAGAGAGACAAAGGAAGUGCAGACCAAUGAGGUAAAAGUGGAGAAGACCUCCCAGAAAGUCGCCAAGAAGACCAAGACCGUGCCGUGUAAAGUGACCCUCCUAGAUGGCACCGAGUUCAGCUGUGACCUGGAGAAACGUGCUAAGGGCCAAGUGUUAUUUGACAAAGUAUGUGAACACCUUAAUCUCCUGGAAAAGGACUACUUUGGACUUUCUAUUCAGGAAAACACUGAGCAAAAAAACUGGCUGGAUCCUGCAAAAGAAAUAAAGAAACAACUGCGAAACCUUCCUUGGCUGUUCACCUUCAAUGUGAAGUUUUAUCCUCCCGAUCCUUCUCAGCUGACUGAAGAUAUCACCAGAUACUUCCUGUGCCUUCAGCUCCGUCAGGACAUCGCUUCCGGCCGCCUGCCCUGUUCUUUCGUGACGCACGCGCUCCUGGGCUCCUACACACUUCAGGCCGAACUCGGGGACCACGACCCAGAGCAGCAUGGCAGCAGCAACCUCAGUGACUUCCAGUUUGCUCCCACACAGACUAAGGAGCUGGAAGAAAAGGUGGCCGAGCUGCACAGAACCCACAGGGGCUUAUCUCCAGCGCAAGCUGAUUCUCAGUUCUUAGAAAAUGCAAAGAGGCUUUCCAUGUACGGCGUUGACCUACAUCAUGCCAAGGAUUCCGAAGGUGUGGACAUCAAGCUGGGCGUGUGUGCUAAUGGACUUCUUAUUUACAAAGACAAGCUGAGAAUCAAUCGUUUUGCUUGGCCUAAAAUCUUGAAAAUUUCCUAUAAGCGCAGCAACUUCUACAUUAAAGUGAGACCAGCAGAGCUGGAACAGUUUGAGAGCACCAUUGGAUUUAAGCUGCCAAACCACCGGGCCGCAAAAAGACUAUGGAAAGUGUGUGUGGAGCAUCAUACUUUCUACAGGCUUGUGUCUCCAGAGCAGCCACCAAAGGCCAAGUUCCUGACGUUAGGGUCCAAAUUUCGCUACAGCGGCCGCACCCAGGCACAGACCCGACAGGCUAGCACUCUCAUCGACCGGCCUGCGCCGCACUUUGAGCGCACCUCCAGCAAGCGGGCCUCCGAGAUCCUGGACGGAGCUCUGAUUGGGAUUGUGGACCAAAGUCUUAUGAAGGAUUUUCCUGGCCCUGCUGGUGAGGUUUCGACAUAUGGUCCUGGAGUAGUCACCACAGCUGUGGUACAAGAUGGGGAUGGCAGAAGGGACAUCAGAAGCCCAGUAAAAGGCCCACAUGUGCAUGUCACUGAAGGAAAGAAAAAUUCCUUGAGAGUAGAAGGGGAUAAUAUUUAUGUCAGACAUAGCAAUUUAAUGUUGGAGGACCUGGAUAGAGCCCAGGAGGAAAUACUGAAACAUCAGGCUAGCAUUAGUGAACUCAAGCGCAAUUUUAUGGAGUCCACACCUGAGCCGCGCCCUAAUGAGUGGGAAAAACGACGUAUCACACCUCUGUCUCUACAGACCCACGGGAGCCUAGAAGAGGAGAUAACAUCACUUUUGUUUAGUGAAAAGGGCUUUUCUGGUAGCGUGAAAGCCUCCUUCAGCUCAGCCGCCAGUUGGACAGCAGAGGGCGCUGUUGUGAGCUCUAAUGCCCCUUCUGAAAAGCUUUCUUCCUGGCCCUUCUCAAAGUUGCCUGAGACACGCGCUCCCGAGUCCGAAGGGCCUUGCGCCGGAGCCAGUGAUGCUGUCAAGAGUUCACAUGAGACUCUGAAUGUAGUGGAGGAGAAGCAGCAGGCAGAGGUUGGGAAAGACGAAAGAGUAAUCACAGAAGAAAUGAACGGUAAAGAGCUAUCAGCUGGGAGUGGUCCUGGGGAGAUGCCCAAGGUGGAGCCUCUGACACAGAAAGACUCCACCUCCCUGUCUUCUGAGAGCAGCAGCAGCAGUGAGAGCGAGGAGGAAGAUGUGGGAGAGUACCGGCCCCACCACCGAGUCACCGAGGGCACCAUAAGGGAAGAGCAGGAGGAGGAGGAGGAAGAGGUGGAGGAAGAAGCCGGCCGAGCAGCCAAGGUAGUAGAGAGGGAGCAAGCAGUGCCAGAAGCCAGCCCAGGCAAACAAGCAGGGCCCAGUGUAAUCACAGUAGAAACAGUGACCCAGGAAAAUGUAGGGGAGCCCACGAUGCCUGCUGAGAAGAGUGUAAACGAAGGCGCUAUUAAGCAAGACAUGAGCGAAGAAGCAGAGGAGGAGCAACAUAAAGUUAACGGAGAGGUGGCUCAUGUUGACAUUGAUGUUUUGCCACAGAUUAUUUGUUGUUCAGAGCCACCAGUGGUAAAAACAGAGAUGGUAACAAUUUCUGAUGCCUCACAAAGGACAGAAAUCUCCACCAAGGAAGUCCCUAUUGUCCAAACUGAGACCAAAACCAUCACUUAUGAGUCUCCACAGAUUGAUGGCGGGGCUGGUGGUGACUCGGGCACGUUACUGACCGCACAAACCAUCACAUCUGACUCCGUGUCGACAACGACAACCACACACAUCACCAAGACUGUGAAAGGUGGAAUAUCUGAAACAAGAAUUGAGAAACGCAUCGUGAUCACAGGAGAUGCAGAUAUUGAUCAUGACGAGUUCACACAAGACGCCCUUCUCUGAGAUAAGGCUCCUGCUUUUCUCCCUUCCUGACUCCUGCUUGCCAUCCUUCCUGCUCCCCCCACUUGCUUCUGCUCAGAUUGGUGGCUGGGAUCCUGUCUGAAUUCUCUUUUGUCCUGGUACAGGCGCUGGCCCAGGCCAUCAGGGAAGCUCGAGAGCAGCACCCUGACAUGUCAGUCACCAGAGUGGUGGUGCACAAAGAAACGGAGUUGGAGGAAGGGGAUGACUAAGAGUGGCCUCCUGACUGCUGUUUUUGUUCUCUACACCUCUCUACCUCUCAACUAUUUACCACACUACAGCUGCAGCAUCAUUUUCAACACACAGAUCAGCCCUUCCUCAAAACCAAAGGAGAGUCAAACCCAGUGCUCUCUCCUGGGCAGCCAGUACCCUGUAGGAAAUUGUCACCUACCAGCUCUGACAUGUCACCCACCUUGGACAGUGCUCUGGGUCAUUGCAAUCAUCAGACAAGUUGAUUGCUUCUGUCCGAGUACUCUCUCUGGAUUCAUUUUGGUGGGCUUCAGAAAUUUUCAAUUUUUAAACAGCAUUCGACUUUAUGACACUGAAGAAUUUUGAUCAUUCCAAGUCUUAAUGCCACACCACUACUCCAGAGAAUAUAUCCUACGACUGGUAACAAUGACCAGAAGCCUGAAGAAUUAAAAUGCCAACACCAAACCUUACCUUAACAGCUCUGGUCGAUACUGUUCCCUUGCAUUUAAUAUAUUAUUUUGUUUUAUAACCACUUUUAAAUAUUUAGUUCUGUUUUUUGGUUAGAGUCUUAGUUUUGUUUCCUGGUUAAUUUUGUACAAGUACCUGCUUUUUAUGACAUUUUGAACAAAUGAUAGUGAACAAAGCCAGCCCAAGCUGGUAGGGUGCUGUUCACUUGAACGGGUGCUGUUGUGCUGAAAGGAAACGGACUAAUUUAGAUAGUAGCUUUCCUUUUUUCCAAAUUCUUCCCAUUGAAUUCUUACAGUUAAUAUUGACAGUUUUCUGAUUACAGUAAGUAUGCUGUACGAGAAACUAUUAAUACAGAUUAAAAGCAUUUCUUACAUCUUGAAAUUUUUCUAAUGUUUUGAGAAUUUUAUGGGGGAUAUUUUUUGUAUCAAACCCUUUGGACCUUCCAGUCCUAUGGCUUUUUACUUUGAGUAGAAAGUCAGAUACUCUCUGUACUGGAAAAGUGAGGAAGUUGACUGACCAGGCACUGUGCUGAGAGACCCUGUCCCACCACGGUGCCAAUGCUUCUCGGACACAUGCUCUUCAGCAGCAUUCCAGAAACAGGAGGGAAGAAGAGACAAUGAAUCAUUCUUCCCUCCUAUUCCGAUAAUUUCAGGCAGCUCGAAACCUUAGUGCUUUCUCUCUUAACGUGUCCAAAUUUCAAUACUUUCCAUAUUUGAGCACUUGUGUAGGACAUUCGCUUUGUAUUAAUUCUCUUUUGUCUAUGUGUACAACUGACCUUUUGUUAUUGAGCAGGUGUAUCUCUUUCAAAUAGUUUGAUGACUCGCGCAGGCUCGAGGACCCCAGGGAGAGGAGGAGUAAGGGCUGUGGUGGUUUUGGGAUGGUUCUAAGAAAACUAUCUGCCGUGGAAAGCUGGAACCAGAGACCUGAUAGGGAUUUAUUAACUGCACCAAACCCUUUUUCUUCUGCUUUUGUCCCUAUGUAUAGUUACCAUGCUAGAUUAGAUUUAUAGCAGCUUUAAGUUGUAUUAAAUGAUAUUCUACUUUCUGUAAUACGGUUAUAAAAUAAAGUUUGUUUAUUCUCUACA